RNAcentral lists this long non-coding RNA (586 nucleotides) under Monodelphis domestica (gray short-tailed opossum). RNAcentral describes it as "lncRNA (ENSMODG00000039594.1)". The record is from RNAcentral. Lineage: Eukaryota; Metazoa; Chordata; Mammalia; Didelphimorphia; Didelphidae.
AAGGUGUCUGAAUUUUAAGCUGUAGGGAACAUAAGUCAUUUUUAACUUUGACAUUUUGUACUGUAGUUGCAGAAAUUGUAAGAAACGUCGUUGAAGAUUUUAGUGAUAGGAAUACCUGUAGCUACUUCAAGAGACCUUUUGUGGUGAUUUGUUCUUCCAAAUACCUGCCUGUGUGUGCAUCAGAUGGUAUAACAUAUGGCAACAUAUGCCUCUAUUGUAAAAGCUACUUUGAAAAACUGAAAAGAACUAGAAUAAUGAUUGUCCAUGAAGGUGAAUGCAAAAAUUCAUAUUGACUUCUUGAGCCAUCAAUCUACUUUAAAAUUUUUCAUUUUCACCUGUCAGAUGUAUGGGAAAGGGAGAAUUUAAGACCCAUUAAGAGAUAGAGAACAUUACAAAAUUUAAAAGGAAUAAUUUUGAUUAUAUUAAAUUAAAAAGGUUUUGUACAAACAAAACCAAUGCAACCAAAAUUAGAAGGGAAGCAACAAACUGGGAGAAAUUUUUAUAACAAAAACUUCUGACAAAGGUCUAAUUUCUCAAAUUUUUGAGGAACUAAGACAUAUGUAAAAGAAAUCAAGUCAUUCCCCAA